AUUGAACGCUGGCGGCAGGCCUAACCCAUGCAAGUCGAACGAGUGGCGGACGGGUGAGUAAUGUCUGGGAAACUGCCUGAUGGAGGGGGAUAACUACUGGAAACGGUAGCUAAUACCGCAUACCAUCGGAUGUGCCCAGAUGGGAUUAGCUAGUGGGUGGGGUAAAGGCUCACCUAGGCGACGAUCCCUAGCUGGUCGUAGAGGAUGACCAGCCACACUGGAACUGAGACACGGUCCAGACUCCUACGGGAGGCAGCAGUGGGGAAUAUUGCACAAGGGGCGCAAGUCUGAUGCAGCCAUGCCGCGUGUAUGAAGAAGGCCUUCGGGUUGUAAAGUACUUUCAGCGGGGAGGCGUUACCCGCAGAAGAAGCACCGGCUAACUCCGUGCCAGCAGCCGCGGUAAUUC
This 406-nucleotide ribosomal RNA is filed under the name uncultured bacterium. RNAcentral's name for it is "partial 16S ribosomal RNA". It matches the Rfam family "Bacterial small subunit ribosomal RNA", at positions 30 to 526 of the family's 1533-position model. The record is from RNAcentral.